CGUUAAUACUAACUGCCAAAUACGGGUGGCAGUUUGUACCUAACGGCUAAUAGUUAAAUGCGAUAAUAUCAUUAAUAAACAUGAUAAUAUAAAAAAUUAAUUAAUAAUUCUCACCUGUAAAGCCCAGCAUAGCUGAAAUGUCUCGCCAGGCCUGGUUGCGCUUUGUUUGGUCGUGAUACGCCUUUAAAGGCCCACUAUGCAACUUUUUUAGCCAAAAUUACAUUAAGUAUGCAGGUUGAGAGUUAUGCUGAUGGUUCUGCAUCCAUUUCUGGGUUGAUUGGUGGGUGUGUCAUUUACCCAUGUCGCCUCUCCAGUGAAAAAGCGCAUAUGCAACUUGAUCUGUUCGGACCGACACAAUCCGGAUGUGACGCAGUGGAAGUAUCCUCAAAAAUGUAGUCAGAUUGUAGUUUCGAAAAUGCUUUACGGCACAGACACACCCCCAAACAUGGCACCGGCUAGAUAUAAACAGCCAGUUGCGAGCAUGGUUGCGAGGCAAUUGUUGUCCGAGAUCAGCCGACCAAAAAGAGACAGAGAAACCCAAUGUCGGAGGAACAGAAGAAGAGAAAAGGGAGACAGACCGACAGAGAGGCCAGACACGAGUAAACGUUGGGCAAGCUUUUCAGGAAUAGCGUGAACUGAAAGAAAAAGAAGACUGCAAAUCAGACGCCGACUCGGCCGUGUUGCUUUUGAAAUUGAAAGUACCCUUGGGUGAACUUUUUCUGCGUAAUAUUCUUGAUUCUGAUAGUCUCUGUACACAUGUGUUUGCUCAACCAUUUUUUUGAGCCUUGUAAAAAUUGUUUUCUCAACCGUUUUGUUGUGAGCCCUGUUUGUUUCUAGCUUGCUUGGUUGCAACCAUAUAAACACCUUUGUUUCCAUGGGUGUUUUGCUGUUCGUAUGUCUCGUCCCCCAGAUACAGACUGAAUCCCCGAAUCCAGGUUCUUGUUUAUUUCGAUUAUUAUGUUGGCCAAACCUCUUACACUGAUUGUUCUGUUCAACCUAAGAUAAAAUAAUUAUAACCUAGGGUAUAAAUUCUCCCCGUCAACUAUAAAAAAUGAUGGAUUUAUGUUUAUUGCAAUGCAAAUACACCAUUUUAAAAAUGUAUAACCUUGCCUACACUUUAUGAACAUCUAUUUCGGACAUGGCUCCGCGCAUUCGCCGGCUUCUUUGAAAACAAAUGCACAUGGCUCGCGUAGAAGAGCAUGGGGAAGGGACGUCAACGAGUUGUUACGACAGUGUUGUGAAAUAUCUACUACGAAGCUUUAGGGGGCGCUGUGUAGAGAAAUGUGCGUGCCAAAACCAAGAAAACAGCGAAGAAAUGCCCGAAGUUGCAUAGUGGGCCUUUAAAAACGCUUUUGGUGGACACGGGCCCUUAGACAGGUGAGGAAGCCGGAGCCAAUACGUCACAUAGGCCACGCCUACUUGAUACAAUCCAGAGCUGGAGUCAGAUUUGAGGUC
RNAcentral lists this long non-coding RNA (1455 nucleotides) under Gadus morhua (Atlantic cod). Its description in RNAcentral is "lncRNA (ENSGMOG00000023307.1)". The record is from RNAcentral. Lineage: Eukaryota; Metazoa; Chordata; Actinopteri; Gadiformes; Gadidae.